RNAcentral lists this ribosomal RNA (301 nucleotides) under uncultured bacterium. Its description in RNAcentral is "partial 16S ribosomal RNA". It matches the Rfam family "Bacterial small subunit ribosomal RNA", at positions 509 to 807 of the family's 1533-position model. The record is from RNAcentral.
CAGCAGCCACGGUAAUACGAAGGGGGCUAGCGUUGUUCGGAUUUGCUGGGCGUAAAGCGCACGUAGGCGGACCUUUAAGUCAGGGGUGAAAUCCCGGGGCUCAACCCCGGAACUGCCUUUGAUACUGGAAGUCUUGAGUAUGGUAGAGGUGAGUGGAAUUCCGAGUGUAGAGGUGAAAUUCGUAGAUAUUCGGAGGAACACCAGUGGCGAAUGCGGCUCACUGGACCAUUACUGACGCUGAGGUGCGAAAGCGUGGGGAGCAAACAGGAUUAGAUACCCCCGUAGUCCCUGUCUCUUAUAC